AUAUAAUAUCGAAGUUUCGACUACUUAGUAUAGCACAAAUAGCAAUGGAAGAUCUUAAGGAUUCAAUAGUUGUUGUGAAAGUCCUCCUUUCCAUUUUCUCGGUGAAAUUGCAAGUACAUAGUAGACAGAUUGAGGUCUUGGAAUCAACCAAGAAAAAGGGGUGAUUUGUUGCGUGAAGUAGGCAGAUUGAUACUACGGAAUCGGAUCAAUUCUUACUAAUGAAGUCAGUGUUUCAGUAUUGUAGUAAAUUUUAAAAUAAAAUUUUAAUGAUACGCAUAUUCUAAUUAAAGUUUGGAGGAACCGUGAGGACAAAAAGUAUGAUAUAGUUGUAAUGUGUACCUUUUUAAAAUUUGUAUUGGGAAAUUCUCUCUUGGAAGGUUUCUUACUUAAAUUUAUUCCAGACGAGAAAAAACUUGUGACUGAAGAUGUACGAAAUUUCCUGGUUUGAAUUAAAUCUCUUGAUCUUCCAGCAAAAA
Molecule: long non-coding RNA, 476 nt
Organism: Diorhabda sublineata
Lineage: Eukaryota; Metazoa; Arthropoda; Insecta; Coleoptera; Chrysomelidae
Exons: 2
Source: RefSeq, a predicted model, not a curated record